Molecule: long non-coding RNA, 1811 nt
Organism: Osmerus eperlanus (European smelt)
Lineage: Eukaryota; Metazoa; Chordata; Actinopteri; Osmeriformes; Osmeridae
Exons: 2
Source: RefSeq, a predicted model, not a curated record
CUCCAGCCCUCACCCCUCACCCCCCUCCCACGUCCUCCAGCCCUCACCCCUCACCCCCCUCCCACGUCCUCCACCCCUCACCCCUCACCCCCCUCCCACGUCCUCCACCCCUCACCCCUCACCCCCCUCCCACGUCCUCCAGCCCUCACCCCUCACCCCCCUCCCACGUCCUCCACCCCUCACCCCCCGCCCACGUCCUCCAGCCUGAUUCCAAGCUUCCCAAUGUUCACCUCCUCCACUCCGUACCCCCUCACGCACCGGCACUGUGUUAGCCACUACCCAUCAGCACCCCCACACCCUGGCAGCCUCUCCUGGGGCCCCCUAUCUAGCCCCCCCCCCACCACCGACUGUGACCCCCAGCUCCCCUCAUCCCACCACCACAAGUUCCCCCCUAGCCAUGUCUAGCCCCCCCACACCCCUGUCCUCAGCUACUUUAGCAAUAGAAACCCUAGUCAUCAGAGGAGAGAGGAGAGGACUCGUGCUGAAUCGGAGGGGAGGGGAAAAGGCGAAUAAAUAAAAGAACGUCUCCAUCAAUUAUUGAGGCCAAACAUGCGGAGUGGCUUCUCCCCUGGCCCCGCCCCCCAGGCUCCACUCAGCAUCACCAGGUUGAACCGGACUCCAAAUGUGUUUGCGUUGGUUUAGAGGGAAACAUUCAACACACUUCUGUCUCUCUUUACUUUCAUGAGACGGCUUCUGCGAAGGCGCGGACGCCUAGCUGUUAGAAUCCGCCUCGGUCACACGACCAUCUCAAACACUUCGUUUAGAAGUUUUUUGCCUUGAAUUUUGUUUGGUUGUGUUGUUGUUUUUUUUUUAUGUCAUUUGUUUCUGAAGAUGAUUUCUGUUGUGAAGAACACAACAACAUGGUGACUAACCACACCUCGUCAAAGCCUCUUGUGUUCCCAGAACUCAUGGUUGAUGGUCGUUGCGUUCCUGUCUGUUCUGUUAGCCGCUGUCUGGUGUUCUGUGAGUGAGCAGUCCUCUCAGCCAGUCACAGUCCUCGGCCCGGUCUGAGGUUAGGUUGACCGGGCGCCGCUCACGCAAACUUGAUUCUCCUCUAUGAAAUGUGCCUCACACAGCAGACUGGCUGCACUCUACCCUGAGAUGCAGAGAGACCCCCCCCCCUUCCACACACAAACACACGCACAGCCCAUCCCUAGCUGCCUAGCUCAGCUAUCUUCAGUUCUGCUUCUAGAGAGCUGCAGCACUGCAGAGAAGCUGGCCUUUGGUGCGUUGAAUGUUGAAGUAGCAGGCCUGAGACAGUCAGAAUCACCUCUCGUCUCACGUCACUUAAGUGAGGCAGAAAUGUGAACUCAUGCUGCCACGUGGUGGUUGUUGUUGCUAACAAUGAGGCUAGCAUCUAUGGCCAAGCUAAGUGGAUGUUAGGCUACCAAGUCCAACUAGAGAUCAAUGGACUAGCAUGUAUGGCUGAGCUAACUGCUAAGCACUAGGCUAGCUGGUCCAGGGGAGGGUCUCUUUGCAGCUCAGGUGGUUGCAGGUGAGUGGGUUACUGGGUCAGACACCUGACACCUGAAUGUUUGCCUCGUCAUGAACUAGACUAUACAAAAGCAAAAGUCGAAAUUGAAUUUAUUUUUUCUAUACUUUAUAGAAAUAUUAAGUGUAGACUUGUAUAAAAAAAAUGCAAGUGUCCUAUCCUGCAAGUGCUCAGUGUAAUAACUGCUUACACUAGUGAGAAAGUGGAAUUUGAUAUGCAUCAUUGAAAUGUGAAUUAAACAAUGGCAUAUUAUUAUCAUGUCGAAAUGAUGGCUUGGCAGUAUUUAUGUGAAACGAUUAAACAAUAUGCCUAAUUUUGA